Molecule: ribosomal RNA, 467 nt
Filed under: uncultured bacterium
Lineage: Bacteria
Description: partial 16S ribosomal RNA
Rfam family: Bacterial small subunit ribosomal RNA
Source: RNAcentral
GACGAACGCUGGCGGCGUGCUUAACACAUGCAAGUCGAACGGAAAGGCCCUGCUUUUGUGGGGUGCUCGAUUGGCGAACGGGUGAGUAACACGUGAGUAACCUGCCCUUGACUUUGGGAUAACUUCAGGAAACUGGGGCUAAUACCGGAUAGGAGCUCCUGCUGCAUGGGGUGGGUUGGAAAAUUUCGGCGGUUGGGUAUGGACUCGCGGCUAUCAACUUGUUGGUGGGGUAGUGGCUUACCAAGGCUUUGACGGGUAGCCGGCCUGAGAGGGUGACCGGCCACAUUGGGACUGAGAUACGGCCCAGACUGCUACGGGAGGCAGCAGUGGGGAAUAUUGCACAAUGGGCGGAAGUCUGAUGCAGCAACGCCGCGUGCGGGAUGACGGCCUUCGGGUUGUAAACCGAUUUCGCCUGUGACGAAGAGUGAGUGACGGUAAUGGGUAAAGAAGCACCGGCUAACUACGUG